This 125-nucleotide non-coding RNA is filed under the name Castor canadensis (American beaver). Lineage: Eukaryota; Metazoa; Chordata; Mammalia; Rodentia; Castoridae. The record is from RNAcentral.
CAAAAGAAUGAAAGGAGAAAAGGUUAGUGCUCCCUUUGACAAGGAUGGAAGAGGCCCUUGGGCCUGACAACACAUACACAAUUAAGGCAUUGCACCUACUUCAUGACACCUAGCCAUCGUCUUAA